CCUACGGGAGGCAGCAGCCGAGAAUCAUUCACAAUGGACGCAAGUCUGAUGAUGUGACGCCGCGUGGAGGAUGAAGGCCCUAGGGUCGUAAACUCCUGUCAUCAGGGAGUAAGACAUGUGCGUUAAAAGCGUUGCAUGUUUGAUAGUACCUGAAGAGGAAGGGACGGCUAACUUCGUGCCAGCAGCCGCGGUAAU
This 195-nucleotide ribosomal RNA is filed under the name uncultured bacterium. Its description in RNAcentral is "partial 16S ribosomal RNA". It matches the Rfam family "Bacterial small subunit ribosomal RNA", at positions 338 to 524 of the family's 1533-position model. The record is from RNAcentral.